CCUACGGGAGGCUGCAGUGGGGAAUAUUGGGCAAUGGGCGCAAGCCUGACCCAGCAACGCCGCGUGAAGGAAGAAGGCUUUCGGGUUGUAAACUUCUUUUCUGGGGGACGAACAAAUGACGGUAACCCCGGAAUUAGCCACGGCUAACUACGUGCCAGCCGCCGCGGUAAUACGUAGGUGGCAAGCGUUAUCCGGAGUUAUUGGGUGUAAAGGGCGUGUAGGCGGGAAUGCAAGUCAGAUGUGAAAACUAUGGGCUCAACCCAUAGCCUGCAUUUGAAACUGUAUUUCUUGAGUGCUGGAGAGGCAAUCGGAAUUCCGGGUGUAGCGGUGAAAUGCGUAGAUAGACGGAGGAACACCAGUGGCGAAGGCGGAUUGCUGGACAGUAACUGACGCUGAGGCGCGAAAGCGUGGGGAGCAAACAGGAUUAGAUACCCGAGUAGUC
This 442-nucleotide ribosomal RNA is filed under the name uncultured bacterium. RNAcentral describes it as "partial 16S ribosomal RNA". It matches the Rfam family "Bacterial small subunit ribosomal RNA", at positions 338 to 795 of the family's 1533-position model. The record is from RNAcentral.